Molecule: long non-coding RNA, 1854 nt
Filed under: Marmota monax (woodchuck)
Lineage: Eukaryota; Metazoa; Chordata; Mammalia; Rodentia; Sciuridae
Rfam family: tRNA (bases 23-91)
Source: RNAcentral
AAAAAUAAUUACUAUUGGGGCUGGGGUUGUGGCUCAGUGGUAGAGCGCUCGUCUAGCAUGCACGAGUUCCUGGAUUCGAUCCUCAGCACCACAUAAAAAUAAGUAAACAAAAUAAAGUUGUAUUGUGUACAACUAAGAAAUAAAUAUUUUUAAAAAAUAAUUACUAUUUCCCCAAAUUCAUCAGAAUAAAGGGGAAAGCAGCCAUCAUUCAACAUUAUUGAGAUUCUAAUGUACAUUCCCUAAAUAUCAGCCAAUUCCUGAUAUAUGGUGACACACUUCUCUGCCCACCAAAUAUUUCUUUUUUUCUUUACAGUAAAAGUUCUAUAGUACCAAGAAAAUAAAGCAAUAAUGACAGUCUCAGCAGCCAACAUUCUGACUGAGGGAAAUGACCCACCAUCCCACUGGACAGCGAUGGUAGUUUCUCCCUAUACUUCAGCCUUGAACGAGUGGCUUUUCAUAGGGUCCAUUCAUGGUGCACUUGAUGGUACUAAGAUAAAGACCUUCAGAUCACUGAUUUAUCUCCCUUUUCCCAUCCAUCUAAAGAUUCAUGCUGAUCUUCUGAGUGUUGAUGGGAGAACAAUAGUUAGCUUGAUCUGUUGUUGCUCUUAGAAGGCCCGAAAAGCCACUGGGCAUUGCCAAGGAGUUCUGGAUCAGGUGGAAACCCUCACAUUGUCUUCAGGCUGUAUCAGGAAAUCCCUAAGAUGGAUGCUGCUAUGAACUAGCCAUACCUGUAAGUGCUGCUAGCCGGAACUCAGUGUAUUCUGGGAUCACAGCAAGGAAAGCGCUGGCUAGGGUUCCUCUCUUGCGAAGUGUGCAGAACCUCCUUGGAAGUGGUGAAGAUUCCAGCUCAAUAGAAAGUGCAUAGCUGGCUGAUAAAUCCCUGUGAAGUUCACUCCUUGAUCCCUGGUGCAAUCAUUUUGUCUUCUCUCUUGGUGUUUCCCUCUGCCAACUUUAAGCAGCCAUUUUUCCAAAUCAUGAUUACAAAUUUUUCCUUUGUUGAUGCCUUUCUGGGGCAUACUUCCCCCACCCUAAAAGGUCACCUGCAGCUUGGACUGACUGGUCUUCUCUUCUGUGGCAUUCUCUCACAAGCGAUCCUUUGAAAUUUAGCACAAAGUGCCUUUUCUGUCACAGUUCUGCCACCUUCAGAGGACUUUUGCUGCAUCCAAAAAUGUGGAAGUUCCAUAUUAAUGCAUUGCUCAUUUUGUUUUUAAGAUUUAUUUUUUUUUGGCACUGGGGUUUGAACUCAGGGCAGUUGACCACUGAGCCACAUCCUCAGCCCUAUUUUGUAUUUUUAUUUAGAGAUAGGUUUCACUGAGUUGCUUAGCGUCUUGCUUUUGCUGAGGCUGGCUUUAAACUCGGGAUCCUCCUUCCUCAGCGUCCUUAGCCACUGGGAUUACAGGUGUGCUUCACUGUGCCCAACUGUUUUUAAAUUUUGAUAACUGUUGAAGCAUCAUUUGCACCUGCAUGGUGACUUUGCCUGUUGUAAAGCAUCAUGGCCAUGCUCCAGCUGGGAGACUGCUUUCUUCAGUCUCAAGGUUGAGAAGGUCAGCUUUGAAAGGGAACUAUGCCCCAGCUUAGACAUUCAGAAGAGAAGAGUAUGAGAUUAGAGGUACAGUCAUAAGUGAAACUGCUUGGAUUUUAAUAUCUUAGUUGAUGAUAAAAAAGAAUGUUAGAGAAGUCUUAAUCUGGAUGAAGGUAGCAUGUUUAUCCCUUAAUCUUUCAUUCAUAGCCUGUUAGUGAAAGGAUGUAAAUGAAAUUAUUUUGUGUAACUUUGUAGUUUCUAUGUAUUAUCAAACAGUUGAGGGGGGCUGGGACUGUGGCUCAGCGGUAGAGCGCUCGCCUAGCACAUGCAGG